Molecule: ribosomal RNA, 424 nt
Filed under: uncultured cyanobacterium
Lineage: Bacteria; Bacillati; Cyanobacteriota
Description: bacterial SSU rRNA
Rfam family: Bacterial small subunit ribosomal RNA
Source: RNAcentral
GGGGAAUUUUCCGCAAUGGGUGUAAGUCUGACGGAGCAAUACCGCGUGAGGGAGGAAGGCUUUUGGGUUGUAAACCUCUUUUCUCAGGGAAGAAGUUCUGACGGUACCUGAGGAAUCAGCAUCGGCUAACUCCGUGCCAGCAGCCGCGGUAAUACGGAGGAUGCAAGCGUUAUCCGGAAUUAUUGGGCGUAAAGCGUCCGCAGGUGGUGCAUCAAGUCGGCUGUCAAAGACUAGGGCUUAACCCUGGAGCGGCAGUGGAAACUGGUGGACUAGAGUACGGUAGGGGUAGAGGGAAUUCCCAGUGUAGCGGUGAAAUGCGUAGAGAUUGGGAAGAACACCAGUGGCGAAGGCGCUCUACUGGACCUGUACUGACACUCAGGGACGAAAGCUAGGGGAGCGAAAGGGAUUAGAUACCCCUGUAGUC